Molecule: long non-coding RNA, 1153 nt
Organism: Oncorhynchus tshawytscha (Chinook salmon)
Lineage: Eukaryota; Metazoa; Chordata; Actinopteri; Salmoniformes; Salmonidae
Source: Ensembl
CCCCACUAUACAACCAUGUACCAUCUACCAUCUAGCCCCACUACACAACCAUCUACCAUCUAGCCCCACUACACAACCAUCUACCAUCUAGCCCCACUAUACAACCAUCUACCAUCUAGCCCCACUACACAACCAUCUACCAUCUAGCCCCACUACACAACCAACUACCAUCUAGCCCCACUACACAACCAUCUACCAUCUAGCCCCACUACACGACCAGCUACCAUCUAGCCCCACUACACAACCAUCUACCAUCUAGCCCCACUACACAACCAUCUACCAUCUAGCCCCACUACACAACCAGCUACCAUCUAGCCCCCAUCUAGCCCCACUACACAACCAGCUACCAUCUAACCCCACUACACAACCAUCUACCACCUAGCCCCACUACACAACCAGCUGCCAUCUAGCCCCCAUCUAGCCCCACUACACAAACAUCUACCAUCUACCAUCUAGCCACACUACACAACCAGCUACCAUCUAUCCCCACUACACAACCAGCUACCAUCUAGCCCCACUACACAACCAGCUACCAUCUAGCCCCACUACACAACCAUCUACCAUCUAGCCCCACUACACGACCAGCUACCAUCUAGCCCCACUACACAACCAUCUACCAUCUAGCCCCACUACACAACCAUCAACCAUCUAACCACACUACACAACCAUCUACCAUCUAGCCCCACUACACAACCAUCUACCAUCUAGCCCCACUACACAAACAUCUACCAUCUACCAUCUAGCCACACUACACAACCAUCUACCACCUAGCCACACUACACAACCAUCUACCACCUAGCCACACUACACAACCAUCUACCAUCUAGCCCCACUACACAACCAUCUACCAUCUAGCCCCACUACACAACCAGCUACCAUCUAGCCCCCAUCUAGCCCCACUACACAACCAGCUACCAUCUAACCCCACUACACCAAUACAGGUAUCCUUUUCCUCCAGGUAUUGGGAACAAGCAGAGCUAUCUCAAACAUACCUGACUAAAAGAGAAGUCAAGCCUCUGCUCGUCCCGUAAACCAGAAUCCUUCAAGGCUAUGACCAACGUGUCUCAUAUCGUGACACAGAGGGCAAUAAAUCACUACAUUGAUUUCAUUUUCUAUUUCCCCAAGACCAUACAGUAGAAACACUCUCUCAUCU